Molecule: ribosomal RNA, 442 nt
Filed under: uncultured bacterium
Lineage: Bacteria
Description: partial 16S ribosomal RNA
Rfam family: Bacterial small subunit ribosomal RNA
Source: RNAcentral
CCUACGGGAGGCAGCAGUGGGGAAUAUUGGGCAAUGGGCGCAAGCCUGACCCAGCAACGCCGCGUGAAGGAAGAAGGCUUUCGGGUUGUAAACCUCUUUUGACAGGGAAGAGUAAAAGACGGUACCUGUCGAAUAAGCCAUGGCUAACGAAGUGCCAGCGGCUGCGGCAAUACGAAGGUGGCAGGUGUUGUCCGGCUUUCCUGGGUGUAAAGGGCGUGUAGCCGGGUUGACAAGUCAGAUGUGAAAUCCUGCGGCUUAACCGAAUAACUGCAUUUGAAACUGUUGAUCUUGAGUACUGGGGAGGCAUGCGGAAUUCCUAGUGUAGCGGUGAAAUGCGUAGAUAUUAGGAGGAACACCAGUGGCGAAGGCGGUCUGCUGGACAGCAACUGACGGUGAGGCGCGAAAGCGUGGGUAGCAAACAGGAUUAGAUACCCUGGUAGUC